Molecule: unclassified non-coding RNA, 286 nt
Filed under: Hevea brasiliensis (rubber tree)
Lineage: Eukaryota; Viridiplantae; Streptophyta; Magnoliopsida; Malpighiales; Euphorbiaceae
Source: RNAcentral
AUACUUUUCAAGAAACUUUUCAUCUCCUAAGUUCAACUCCAAAUGGAACCUAUAUUUUUUACCUGAACCACAUUAUCUUAAUUAUUUAUUAUGUUUGAUUUCUUUUGUUUCAUAACUAAUUUGAUUAGAUUAUGAUUGAUUUGAUUCACAUUUCAAUUCGGUUUUUUUUCUUUUUUUUCCUCUUAUGAUAAUUUACAUUAUUUCGGAUUUGCUAAUUUUCAAUCGAAUAAACUGAAACACUUGAAUACUCACCCUUUUCAGCACGAACACGGUGAGAAGAUUGCGG